GACGAACGCUGGCGGCGUGCCUAAUACAUGCAAGUAGAACGCUGAAGAGAGGAGCUUGCUCUUCUUGGAUGAGUUGCGAACGGGUGAGUAACGCGUAGGUAACCUGCCUUGUAGCGGGGGAUAACUAUUGGAAACGAUAGCUAAUACCGCAUAACAAUGGAUGACACAUGUCAUUUAUUUGAAAGGGGCAAUUGCUCCACUACAAGAUGGACCUGCGUUGUAUUAGCUAGUAGGUGAGGUAACGGCUCACCUAGGCGACGAUACAUAGCCGACCUGAGAGGGUGAUCGGCCACACUGGGACUGAGACACGGCCCAGACUCCUACGGGAGGCAGCAGUAGGGAAUCUUCGGCAAUGGGGGCAACCCUGACCGAGCAACGCCGCGUGAGUGAAGAAGGUUUUCGGAUCGUAAAGCUCUGUUGUAAGUCAAGAACGAGUGUGAGAGUGGAAAGUUCACACUGUGACGGUAGCUUACCAGAAAGGGACGGCUAACUACGUGCCAGCAGCCGCGGUAAUACGUAGGUCCCGAGCGUUGUCCGGAUUUAUUGGGCGUAAAGCGAGCGCAGGCGGUUUGAUAAGUCUGAAGUUAAAGGCUGUGGCUCAACCAUAGUUCGCUUUGGAAACUGUCAAACUUGAGUGCAGAAAGGGAGAGUGGAAUUCCAUGUGUAGCGGUGAAAUGCGUAGAUAUAUGGAGGAACACCGGUGGCGAAAGCGGCUCUCUGGUCUGUAACUGACGCUGGGCUCGAAAGCGUGGGGGAGCGAACAG
Molecule: ribosomal RNA, 764 nt
Filed under: uncultured Streptococcus sp.
Lineage: Bacteria; Bacillati; Bacillota; Bacilli; Lactobacillales; Streptococcaceae
Description: bacterial SSU rRNA
Rfam family: Bacterial small subunit ribosomal RNA
Source: RNAcentral